AUGGAACAUGGAAUUUUGGAGUUAUCCCCAAGUUUUUCUAUUUUAUUCUCAAUAUUUCCUAUUUUAUCCUCAAUUUUUUCUAUUGUAUCCUCAAUUUUUUCUAUUGUAUCCUCAAUUUUUUCUAUUUUAUCCUCAAUUUUUUCUAUUGUAUCCUCAAUAUUUUCUAUUGUAUCCUCAAUUUUUUCUAUUUUAUCCUCAUUUUUUUCUAUUUUAUCCUCAACAUUUUCUAUUUUAUCCUCAAUAUUUUCUAUUUUAUCCUCAUUUUGUUUUAUUUUAUCCUCAUUUUGUUUUAUUUUAUCCUUAUUUUGUUUUAUUUUAUCCUCAUUUUGUUUUAUUUUAUCCUCAAUAUUUUUUAUUUUUUCAUCUCUAAAUAUAGUAUUGAGGAGUACAAAAAUGACAGUACCUAUUAAUAUAAAAAUUUGGAGGUAUCCUUCAUUCCUCAAUGCCCCUACUUCUUCAGCUGCCAUAUAAUUGUCAAAGAAUGUAGUACUCAUUUUUAUAUGUAUAUUUUGUAAUUUCACAAAACACGUGGGGAGCAGGGCAAAGCAACAAACUUUCCACAGGGUUUUUUUUUUUUAAUCCAGGAAGUUGUUCCUUAAGGGAAAGGAUAUUUAGAAACAGUUCUUCCAGCCAGGACUUUAGAGUCCUGUUGCUGAGAUUUAAAAACAGCUGUUUUCUGUCUAUCAGAGUCACACAGCUGGGAAGUAUCUGAGGUCCGAUUUGAACCCAGGACCUUCUGCCUCUAGGGCUGGCUCUCAAUCCGCUGAGCUACCCAACUGUCCCUUAAGAUUAAAGGGAAGAAAAAGAAAAAACUGCUGAUUCCAAUUUAACUUAAGGAGAAAAGAGAAAAAGUUUUUUAUACUCACGUGUUCUAGCAGCUGUGUCUUUAAGCCAAGUUUUUUUUUUUUUUUAAAAAAGGACUAAGUGGUGAAACAGUAUAGUAAAAAGGCAAGGAAAAAGUUUUAUUGAGAGGAUUCUUUAGACUCCCGUGUGGUCAGCCACAAUGUUACAAGGGAAUCACUUUAAAAGACGGAUAUAUAUUAAUUUAAGGUCGCCAAGGAAUCAGCUAUGUAAUUCCUAAAUGAAAAACUCAAGUCAGCCGUCAGCCUUUUUUGGAGUUUAAUUACAAUAGGAGCAAGAAAGGAAUUAGAGAUAUAUAGAGAGAGAGAGAAAAGGGGAGAGAAGGGAAUAGGGCUUAAAUACCCCUUCUGUUUAGGCUGGGCCAAAAGGCCCAAGCCCUUAGAUAGCUGGGGCAAAGAAAAGAGAUCAGUCCCUAUUACUCACGUGUCCAAAAUGGAGAAACAGUCUCAGAGGCCCCCACCUUCAGCUUCCUCCAGAGCAAGCUUCCUCAGAGCCCAGGAACCACACCGACCAAACUCAAUCCCCCCCAGUCUCCAGACCCUCCUAUCUUUAAGGACACCAUCCAAGUUGCCUCCCCUCAGUCCUCACAUCUACCAAUCACUCUUCAUCA
RNAcentral lists this long non-coding RNA (1471 nucleotides) under Monodelphis domestica (gray short-tailed opossum). Its description in RNAcentral is "lncRNA (ENSMODG00000047479.1)". The record is from RNAcentral. Lineage: Eukaryota; Metazoa; Chordata; Mammalia; Didelphimorphia; Didelphidae.